Molecule: long non-coding RNA, 797 nt
Filed under: Monodelphis domestica (gray short-tailed opossum)
Lineage: Eukaryota; Metazoa; Chordata; Mammalia; Didelphimorphia; Didelphidae
Description: lncRNA (ENSMODG00000042090.1)
Source: RNAcentral
CUGGGCAGCUUUGUCACCCACUAACUGGUUCUGGGUCCCAGAUUUGGAUUGGAUUUAGAAGAUCUGAUUCCAGGGAAGUGAUGUCGAGGUUUGGGAGGUCCUGGGUGGUGGAUGAAGAAAGGAGGAAGUUCAGAAGCCAUUAGCAACAGUGGUUCAGGCCCAUUUCAAGUCUCUAGCUUAGCCUACUGAGGAAUAACCAAGGCUAGAAUUCUAGACUAAAGGAGAGCCUACACUUCUGCCACUGUCACUAAUAGAGCUUUCCAGCUGGUGGAGGAGUCCAGCAACAAGUCUACUUGUUAGUCUUCUUGCUGAGACCUAAACUCAAGAAGCAAAUAGAAGCCAGAUACCCCCAAAAUGUUGGCCAUUGAUGCCUCUUGUGCUGAUCAAUUAAAGACAACUUCUCACCUGGUCCCUCAGUCCAGAAAGGCAUCACCCCGAGAAGUGCCCAUGUUUUUUUCCUGACUAAUAAAUGCCCAAGUGACAGCUGUACCACUUCACAUUUCAGACUUGAACCUGUGUGUGCAUUGAUUGCCUCAAUUGACAGAAUUUGAUUCAAGGUAGUGGACCGGCAGUCCUGCCACAGAAGAAGGUUGCUGGAGCCUUCAAGUGUUAUGACCUUCAUUAAUACUCUGUGCCCUGAAAUCACUUCAAAGUAAAAUAGCCCUGAAGAUUCCAGGGUCAAAUUCUCCUUGAAAUGCUAGAUGGAGAAGAAGGACAUCCUAGCAGAGAAGGGUUUAAUCAACAUAAAGAAAUCAAAAGCAUUACAAAAUAAAUAAAUAAAAAAUAAAAAGCUCUCA